Molecule: long non-coding RNA, 504 nt
Filed under: Rattus norvegicus (Norway rat)
Lineage: Eukaryota; Metazoa; Chordata; Mammalia; Rodentia; Muridae
Description: long non-coding RNA NONRATT007422
Source: RNAcentral
AGUACUCCUUAGACUUACAGUGUGUCGCACGCACCAACCAAGAUUCUAAUGGAGGUUUUGACCAAGGAGUCAGGUGUGUCCUUCCACUAUGUGGGAUCCGGGAUCCAGGGAUAAAAAUCAGGUCUAGCACAACUUCUGGGAGUCAGUUGGUUCUCUCCUUCCAUGGUAGGUAUUCCAGGGACCAAACUCAGGUAGGCAGGAGGGAUGGCAAGUACCUUAACCUUCUAGGCCAUUCCUCUUACCCUGCCCAUCCCCCCUACACAUACACACCUUGUCUGAGACUAGAUUGCUUGCUGACCUGGAGCACACUUACUUGGCUGGACUGACACCGUCCAGCAAACACAGGCAUCCUCUUGUCUCCACCUCCCUGGUACCAGAAUUACAAAUCUGCACCUCCACAUCCGGCUUUUUAUGUGGGACCUCUGAACUCAGGUCCUGCAUGGCAAAGCACUUUACUGUCUCACAGUAUUAAAAACAAACAAACAAAUAGACAAAAAAAAAAAA